RNAcentral lists this long non-coding RNA (765 nucleotides) under Salmo salar (Atlantic salmon). Its description in RNAcentral is "lncRNA (ENSSSAG00000094981.1, ENSSSAG00000120240.1)". Lineage: Eukaryota; Metazoa; Chordata; Actinopteri; Salmoniformes; Salmonidae. The record is from RNAcentral.
CUGUAGUGUCUAGGAUAUCUGUGGAGUUAGUGACUGAUACUGUAGUGUCUAGGAUAUCUGUGGAGUUAGUGACUGAUACUGUAGUGUCUAGGAUAUCUGUGGAGUUAGUGACUGAUACUGUAGUGUCUAGGAUAUCUGUGGAGUUAGUGACUGAUACUGUAGUGUCUAGGAUAUCUGUGGAGUUAGUGACUGAUACUGUAGUGUCUAGGAUAUCUGUGGAGUUAGUGACUGAUACUGUAGUGUCUAGGAUAUCUGUGGAGUUAGUGACUGAUACUGUAGUGUCUAGGAUAUCUGUGGAGUUAGUGACUGAUACUGUAGUGUCUAGGAUGUAGUGUCUCGGAUAUCUGUGGAGUUAGUGACUGAUACUGUAGUGUCUAGGAUAUCUGUGGAGUUAGUGACUGAUACUGUAGUGUCUAGGAUAUCUGUGGAGUUAGUGACUGAUACUGUAGUGUCUAGGAUAUCUGUGGAGUUAGUGACUGAUACUGUAGUGUCUAGGAUAUCUGUGGAGUCUGAAGAAUCUGCCAUGCGGGUGUUCGUAUGACUUCAUCAAACCAGGCAAUAAAUUAAAUUGACCACAGCAGUAUUGUAAAUAACAAUUAGUUCUUAACUGACUUGCCAAGUUAAAUAAAAUAAAAAAUACAUAAAAAUAUUAAAAACACAACCCAGUUAGAAAAGUUUGAAAUAUGAUGUAACAUUUGAAUAUGAUGUAACAUCUAACAUGUGGAUAUGUGAUCAACUCUAUAUAUCAGGAGCUUGUGUAUGGAG